RNAcentral lists this long non-coding RNA (2804 nucleotides) under Homo sapiens (human). RNAcentral describes it as "HSALNT0143497". Lineage: Eukaryota; Metazoa; Chordata; Mammalia; Primates; Hominidae. The record is from RNAcentral.
GUGUGUGUCUGUGUGCGUGCGCAUGUGUGUGUAAAUCAAAAGACUCCUAACCUUCGAGUCAGAAGGUCUGGCUUCUCUUCAUUCCUGUCCUAGCCUGGGUUUCCAAAUAAAGAGCCUGGGUCAGGGCAUGUCAAGGUAGUUCAUUUAUGAGGUGAUUCUAAGGAACAAGAGUGAAGCACCGCUGAGUAACAGGAAAAAGAAACAUGAAUGUAGAAAUAUGCUGUGUGUUGGGCCAUUCCUGGGAGUAACUGUGGCUCAGUGUCCCCCUCUUUUGAGACAUGUCUCGGAACCAUCACCCUUGGGGAAAUGAAGAGCGGAUGCAUUUAUCCAACAGAUCCAGUCCCCCUUUGGUUAGGGUGCCUCCGCCAGCAUUAACCUCUCAGUCCAUCCUUUAAAGCUGAGCAACAUUCUGAAGUCAGCCAGAGAAGCCCCAUGGCAGAAAGAAUUACUUGCACAAAUACCGUGGAGAUUGGCAUGGAAAUGUCUGCACAGACUGCAGGGCUAGGAGGAUGGGCAAUUGUGUAAAGAGGUUCUCAAUGUGCAACAUGCCCACUCACUCCCAGCCACAGGAGAGAUGAGAAACUUGGAGCUCAGAGACAUCCGUUAACUUAAAGUGGCUGAAGGGGGACUCCAAUCAGGGCAACCCACCUUAGAGUCCUCUGCUGUCCACCACUGAGCUGGGAAAUGAAGACUCUGCACAUAGCAUUUCAUCUGGCUGAUCCUUGGAGUCCCAGUCUAAGCAGGGCAGAAUAUAUGACUGAAGUGAACUCCACUCGACCUUCAAAUCCAACCCCUCCGAAGAGAAUAUUCCAAGAAUCAAGCAAAACCUGGGAGGUCAAGGAUGUUUCAUCUGCGUUUCCCCAUUCUCUUAGAUUGUCUCUUCUUUCCUCAAGUCUCAUAGAAUCUGAGAGUUAGAAGGUUCUCAAAGGUCAUCUCAAGCACAAUGCUUUGUGAAAUUUGAAGUCCAGCUACAAUAUGCCCAAUAAGCAUUUAUCCAGACUCAAGAGUCCCCAUUGCUGGAGAAUUGGAAUUUAAUAAUACCAAACAUAGCCCAAUCCAUUUUGGAACAAAUCUACUUGUGAGGAAGUUAUUUUAUUGUUGUUUGUUUUACAGCAUGCUGUAGGUGGUCUCUUUGAAUUCCAUCUAAAUACAACUUUUUGUAGUACAGUACUGCAAAUCAUCUAUUCUAAAGAUGCAUAUGUGUUUACACUGUAUCUGUGAACAUUCAUAACAAUUGAAGACACUUCUGAUUGUGCUUGGCUGGGCAGCAGACACGACGUUGUUGCUUAUGCAUGUGUGAGACAGGCUGUUUCAGGUAGUGUGAUAAAAAUUCUCUCAAUAUUUCAGUCAAACUAUUUAAGAGUCUUUGGAAUAAGGAAUAUAAGCCUUCUAUGUCUUAAAAAAAAUUUAUGGAGAUUUUUUGAAAAUCAUGAAAGCACCAGAUUCAAAACAUUCAGAAGGCAUCUUGGAAGAAAAAAAAAAUCUCAGGAGACAAUAGUGGAGGACUCUAAACAAAGUUGUAUUACAGUAUUCUUAAGAGUAAAAUCAAUGGGACGAUAGAGCAAAACUGCUCAACUAAUAUACCUAAUUCAUAGAAUGUAAUAGCUAUUUAGGAAAUGAAACAUUUAUUGUUGAUUUAUGAUGUGCUACUAACUCUGCUAAGCCCUUUCCAUAUUUUAUUCUACUUGAUCCACCCCAAGACCUAAUGAGGUAGUUAGCACAGGGCCACUAUCCCUUAUCCAAAACUUUUAGGCCAAAUUUUGAAAUUCAUAACUAUUUUUAUUAUUUAAGAAUAUAUAGUAUAUGUAUUGUAUCUUGUUUAACCCCACCAGCAGGGUCUGGGAUAGCAUGCUGUAAUCAAACACAUUAAUAUUUUGCAACAAAAUAUGUGCAUAUUCACAGACUGUGGGAUAAAGAAAUAUCAUAGUAAGUCUCCAGUCUCCCGUCUCAUGCCAGUUUAGGUCAAAGAUGAGUUUGUGAUGGGCUUAUGAAAAUGUUUUCUGUUCUCAGGUAUUUGGGGAUUUUAGAUAUGCAAAUUAGUGGUUUGGAAUUUGUAUUAGUGUCUCCAUUUUGCUAAUAAACAAAGUGAGGCUUUGUAAGUAGUUCCCCCUGACGCACACAGCUCAGAGUGUGGAGUUGGGUCUGAGACAAUCAAGGUCUUAACAACGAUGCUUGGCUGCCUCAGUGAAGCAUCCAUCUGCCAGGAGGUUGGGGGUCACUGCCAUGGGCCCUGAGUCUUCUCUUCUUUAGACUGAUCACUUGCCCAUAACUAUCUCUAGACUUCUUGCCACAAUGGCUCUCCUUUGAACACCCCAUGGUUUCUCACUUCUUAAACCACUGUAAGUAUGAAGUCUCCAUGAGGGGAGACUUAACUAACUGCUAAUAGAAGAACAGAAAGAACAGAAAGGUGUGUGGAGUUCCACGCUCCAACAGCAUCUACCACUUGCUCAAUGAAGUUUUUCAAAAAUAAAAAUAUUUUCUAAGCAGAUGAUGUGGCUCUUUUAUCGUGCUCAUCAUUUUAGAGAGAAAAAGAUCAAAGAUAGAGCCACCAUAGGUUCCAAACCCAAGGUUUGGGAAACUCCAUUCCAGUUCUAUUAAAAUUGCAGCUUUUUCAUAUAAAUUUCCCUGGAGAAGAAAUAUCAUAGGAGUUUUAAUAAUAAUAAAGUACAGGUUCUGUAGCCAACUCAUCUGGUUUGAAUCUCGUUCUGACACUUCCUAGCUGUGUAAUCUUAAGCAAAUUACUUAACCUCUCUGUGCCUCUGUUUUUCUAACAAAUGGGGGCAAUGAUAUGACCUACCUUUGAG